GACGAACGCUGGCGGCGUGCUUAACACAUGCAAGUCGAACGAGACGAUUGAAAGCUUGCUUUCGAAAGUCGAGUGGCAAACGGGUGAGUAACGCGUAAACAACCUGCCUUUGAGAUGGGGACAACAGUUCGAAAGGACUGCUAAUACCGAAUGUUGUAUAUUUUCCACAUGGAAGAUAUAUUAAAGAUGGACUCUAUUUAUAAGCUAUCGCUCAAAGAUGGGUCUGCGUCUGAUUAGCUGGUUGGUGGGGUAACGGCCUACCAAGGCGACGAUCAGUAGCCGGUCUGAGAGGAUGAACGGCCACAUUGGGACUGAGACACGGCCCAGACUCCUACGGGAGGCAGCAGUGGGGAAUCUUCCACAAUGGACGAAAGUCUGAUGGAGCAACGCCGCGUGAGUGAAGAAGGGUUUCGGCUCGUAAAGCUCUGUUGUCGGGGACGAAUGUGCAGUAUUUGAAUAAAGUACUGCAAUGACGGUACCUGACGAGGAAGCCACGGCUAACUACGUGCCAGCCGCCGCCGUAA
This 524-nucleotide ribosomal RNA is filed under the name uncultured bacterium. RNAcentral describes it as "partial 16S ribosomal RNA". It matches the Rfam family "Bacterial small subunit ribosomal RNA", at positions 28 to 523 of the family's 1533-position model. The record is from RNAcentral.